GCACCCGUAGCUCAGCUGGAUAGAGCACCAGACUACGAAUCUGGGGUCGGGCGUUCGAAUCGCUCCGGGUGCACCA
RNAcentral lists this transfer RNA (76 nucleotides) under Paracoccus marcusii. Its description in RNAcentral is "tRNA-Arg". It matches the Rfam family "tRNA". From Rfam's summary of the family: Transfer RNA (tRNA) molecules are approximately 80 nucleotides in length. Their secondary structure includes four short double-helical elements and three loops (D, anti-codon, and T loops). Lineage: Bacteria; Pseudomonadati; Pseudomonadota; Alphaproteobacteria; Rhodobacterales; Paracoccaceae. The record is from RNAcentral.